CUACGGGCCGCAGCAGUGGGGAAUAUUGGACAAUGGGGGAAACCCUGAUCCAGCAAUGCCGCGUGUGUGAAGAAGGCCUGCGGGUUGUAAAGCACUUUCGGUUGGGAGGACUGCUUCUAGCACUAAUAUUGUUGGAAGUUGACGUUACCUUCAGAAGAAGCACCGGCUACUCCGUGCCAGCAGCCGCGGUAAUACGGAGGGUGCAAGCGUUAAUCGGAAUUACUGGGCGUAAAGCGCGCGUAGGCGGUUAGAUCAGUCGGGUGUGAAAGCCCCGGGCUUAACCUGGGAACUGCAUCCGAUACUGUCUAGCUUGAGUACAGGAGAGGAGAGUGGAAUUCCACAUGUAGCGGUGAAAUGCGUAGAUAUGUGGAGGAACACCAAUGGCGAAGGCAGCUCUCUGGCCUGAUACUGACGCUGAGGUGCGAAAGCGUGGGGAGUAAACAGGAUUAGAUACCCCCGUAGUC
This 464-nucleotide ribosomal RNA is filed under the name uncultured bacterium. Its description in RNAcentral is "partial 16S ribosomal RNA". It matches the Rfam family "Bacterial small subunit ribosomal RNA", at positions 339 to 795 of the family's 1533-position model. The record is from RNAcentral.